This 260-nucleotide unclassified non-coding RNA is filed under the name Hevea brasiliensis (rubber tree). The record is from RNAcentral. Lineage: Eukaryota; Viridiplantae; Streptophyta; Magnoliopsida; Malpighiales; Euphorbiaceae.
UUGUACAAUUAAUUAAGGAUAGGUUGCAGCUUAAGGGAGGGGAUUCCAGUGGUAGUUUGCAGGCAUCGGAAAAAUGGGUUCAAGAUCUUUUGUUGUUUUUGGAUCCAAAAGAACCCGAUUUUGAUGAACUAGUGCAAAAAGUGAAAGAGAUUGUGGAAAGCAAUGAAAGUAGAAGACUUCCAAAACUUCCAAAGGGGACUCGUGAUUUUGCAAAAGAACAAAUGGCGAUAAGAGAGAGAGCAUUUUCAAUAAUAACAGAG